CCCCACCCAGCCGCCAGCGCCCCACCCUCCCUCCACCUCAGUCGCUCUCCCCGUCUCCCGUUCCAGCGCCCAAUGCCCAGCGCGGCCGGCGUCCCAGCGCCCUACCUGCUCGCCCUCUGCUGGCUCGGCGGCUCCCCUCUGCUCCCAUGCUGCCGGCGCCCUCCCUCUGCUCGCAUGCGGCACGCUCCCGGCGCCCUCCCUCUGCUCGCAUGCUGCCGGGUGCCGGCGCAUCCCUGCUCGCCCUCUGCUCGCACCAGGCUCGAUGGCUCCCCUCUGCGUGCACUAGGCACACGGCGCCCCCUGCUCCAUACAUGCCGGCGCCCUCUCUCCAAGAGUCCAAGACCUGCCGGCGCCCCCUGCUCGAAGACCUGCCGGCGCCCCCCUCUUCCAAAAGACCAAGACCUGCUCCAUCUGCCACCUCCCUCCACGCUGUGAUGGAUACCCCUACUGGUAGCACUCAACAAGGCUCUGCCACCAGUCCUUUUGCCCUUGUUGACGACCGUCGUACCAUGGAUGUGGAGUCCUCAUCGGAGCAAGAGGAGCAAGGGGACGUACCUACCUCUUCAGGCUCGAAGAGGAAGCUCAGAUCUAAUGUGUGGAGUGAUUUUGAACCCGUAGAAGUUGAUGGAGUAUCGAAGGCUAAAUGCAAACAUUGCAAGAAGAAACUUUCGGGCAUCACAAAAAAUUGGUACAUCACAUUUACAUGCACAUUUGAAGUCUUGUGUUUAUAAUCAAAAUAAGAAAGGAGUAAAAAUACAAACUAAUUUGAGGUUUGCUACAUCAGAGAAGGGGCAAGUGGCCGUAGAAAAUUAUGUAUUCAAUCAAGAUGUAGCUAGAAGAGCACUUUAUUUUAUGAUUAUAUUACAUGAGUAUCCAUUAUCACCAUGGAUUUCGUAAGUUUGUUAGUGCAUGCUUGUUAUAUUGCUUUGUUUGGUGAAGAAGUAGCUGAACAACAUGUCUCAGAUGCCCAUGAAUUGCUAACUGAAUUGAUGAAGCAUUACCAAGUGAAAGAACCAGAGUUUGUAACUUCCUCUUCUAGUGGAUCUUCUACUGUUAGUGCAGCUGCAGUGUUGUCCAUUUUUAAGUCACUUGCUGCAAAUAAGAAGACUAAUACCUUUAUUAGAAGUAAGAAUGAGCUGGAGCGAUAUUUGGAAGAAGAAACUCUUCCUAAUUAUGACAAUGACAACUUUGACAUCCUUGGUUGGUGGAAGCUAGAGGGAACUCAUUAUCCAACUUUGAGGCUGAUUGCUAGAGACAUUUUAGCUAUUCUAAUCACCACUGUUGCAUUUGAAUAUGCUUUUAGUACAAGUGGCAGGCUUUUAAGUGAUCAUCGCAGUCGUCUUACUCCUAAAAUUUUUGAAGCUUUAAUGUGUAGCUAAAGUUGGCUUCGUCAGACUCUUCAAGGUGCUGAAUCUGUUGAUAAUGGAAGAUUCAACAGUUUUUGGUCUUGCCUUGAAGAUAACGAAAAAGACAUCAAAGAAGAAUCUUGUGUGUUGGGUGCUGAUUCUGGAUGAGAUAUUUAUUGUCAAGUGUAUUUUUGUGUUUGUAAUUUUAUUCUUUGAACAAUUCAGAUUUGAUUCUGCUGGACAUUUAUGUAUCUUUUUAUGCAAAAAAUCUGUAUGCUAAUUUAUCCUUUGAAUAA
Panicum hallii is the source of this 1642-nucleotide long non-coding RNA. RefSeq lists it as uncharacterized. The record is from RefSeq and is a predicted model, not a curated record. The transcript is spliced from 3 exons. Lineage: Eukaryota; Viridiplantae; Streptophyta; Magnoliopsida; Poales; Poaceae.